CAAGUGGCGGACGGGUGAGUAACACGUAAGAAUUUGCCUUUAGGAGGGGGAUAACAAUUGGAAACGAUUGCUAAUACCCCAUAUGCUUUCAAGUGAAAUGGAUUUUCCGCCUAAAGAGAAGCUUGCGGCUGAUUAGCUUGUUGGUAAGGUAAUGGCUUACCAAGGCGACGAUCAGUAUCUGGUUUGAGAGGACGAUCAGACACACUGGAACUGAGACACGGUCCAGACUCCUACGGGAGGCAGCAGUAGGGAAUUUUCCGCAAUGGGCGAAAGCUUGACGGAGCAAUACCGCGUGAGGGAUGACUGCCUAUGGGUUGUAAACCUCUUUUUUCAGGGAGGAAUAAUUGACGUGUACCUGAAGAAUAAGCAUCGGCUAACUCCGUGCCAGCAGCCGCGGUAAGACGGAGGAUGCAAGUGUUAUCCGGAAUCACUGGGCGUAAAGCGUCUGUAGGUGGUUAAAUAAGUCAACUGUUAAAUCUUAGGGCUUAACCUUAAAAUCGCAGUCGAAACUAUUAGACUAGAGUAUAGUAGAGGUAAAGGGAAUUUCCAGUGGAGCGGUGAAAUGCGUAGAGAUUGGAAAGAACACCAAUGGCGAAGGCACUUUACUGGGCUAUUACUGACACUCAGAGACGAAAGCUAAGGUAGCAAAUGGGAUUAGAUACCCCAGUAGUCUUAGCCGUAAACAAUGGAUACUAGGUGUUGAACAGAUCGAACUGUGCAGUACUAAAGCUAACGCGUUAAGUAUCCCGCC
Molecule: ribosomal RNA, 751 nt
Filed under: uncultured marine organism
Description: SSU rRNA
Rfam family: Bacterial small subunit ribosomal RNA
Source: RNAcentral